CCCUGCUUUUCCCAUCUUCCUCAUCUGCCAUGGAUUGUUGCUCCCUUUCCUUUUCUUUCUGCAUUGGUUGCUUGCUGCUGUUUUUCAACAAGCUGAAACUGGAAGGUAGUACUGUUUAGCAUGUAAAUAAAGUAACACUUUUCAUUCCUAUGUAAAUAGCUUUGUCUGGCAUUAUGUGCCAGGAACUUUCAUCAACAGAAUGAUGAAUUCAAGUUGUGCAUUCUGUGCCUCUUUUCUUUUGCAGUAGAGGAAAAGCUGUGGAUCCGGAUGGGAGGCAGACUGCGUUGGAUAAUCCAGACCGUUGGAUGGAUAGAUUGCCACUGGAAGCGUACUGCCAGCCAAGAAGGAUCAAGCAGAAUGUAAAGACUGCCCCAAAACAUUCCUCGAAAAACGGGCCACUGGCACACAAGAGGAGCUGCAGACAGGUUUACCAACAACACAGAAAAUUCUGCAUUUUGGACAUGUGUGGAAAAAUUUAAGACGAUUGCACCAUGUUUUGUACUCACCACAGAUUCUUUGUCUAUGAGUGUCCAAUGAAAUGGACACUCAUGUGGCAAGACCUGAUUUCACCAGUAGGCAAAGGGCAUCAGAGAUGGGUUGUAAGUGUGAGGUGAUCAUCUCCAAGGUGUGUCAAGAAAUGUUCUGGCUUCCCCCAAUAGGUUAAUUAGUGAUAGUGAUAUACAGUAGAGUCUCACUAAUCCAAGCUAAACGGGCCGGCAGAAGUUUGGAUAAGCGAAUAUCUUGGAUUAUAAGGACUGAUCAAGGAAAAGCCUAUUAAACAUCAAAUUAGGUUAUGAUUUUACAAAUUAAGCACCAAAACUUCACGUUAUACAACAAAUUUGACAGAAAAAGUAGUUCAAUACGCAGUAAUGUUAUGUUGUAAUUACUGUAUUUACGAAUUUAGCACCAAAAUAUCACGAUAUAUUGGAAACAUUGACUACAAAAAUGGCUUGGAUUAUCCAGAGGCUUGGACUAGCGAGGCUUGGAUUAGUGAGACUCUACUGUAUAUACAUUUUUUUUUUCAGAAUAAAGUUUCACAACUCAAAGCUCAAUCUCUUUAACUCCAUCAUAUUUCUCUUAAAUUUGCUUAGAUUUUUAAUGUAUGAUUGCUCUUCAAAACCCUCGUCUCUCAGGGUAACUCUGAUACUCACCAGGUUCAAGUGAGUUCAAAACUGUUUUGAAUGCAUCUCUUUAACUAUGCAGAAAUAAAACCCAAUUAUUGCCUCAAAGGUUAAUGUAAGAUUGACUGAGUGUACCUACAAAUGGUCUACCUUAUUAAAAACUCGCUUCACAAUGGA
Molecule: long non-coding RNA, 1298 nt
Organism: Anolis carolinensis (green anole)
Lineage: Eukaryota; Metazoa; Chordata; Lepidosauria; Squamata; Anolidae
Exons: 3
Source: RefSeq, a predicted model, not a curated record